This 869-nucleotide long non-coding RNA is filed under the name Struthio camelus australis. RNAcentral describes it as "lncRNA (ENSSCUG00000008947.1)". The record is from RNAcentral. Lineage: Eukaryota; Metazoa; Chordata; Aves; Struthioniformes; Struthionidae.
UUCUUUUUCUUUUCUUUUUUCUUUUUUUUCCUUGCAGCUCUUGGGAUCAGCCUACCAUUAAAAUUGAAAUUUAUUUGCAAUAUAGAUUGAAAUUUAAUUCAGACUUAUGUAAUUUUCAUGGAAUAAAGGCUGAUUGCUCAAAUUGCCUGAUAUUAUAUUUUCUGCACUGUUUCUGAAAACAUUUUCCCUGCACCAGCUGAGGCAAAUCCUGCAUUUCUGAGAGUACAGAGUUUUCUUCUCUCAGGAAACGUGCAGUCAGAAGCUUAAGGGGAAGUAAGUGUUUGUGGAAGUAUGCUUUGAAUAAAGUCAUGGCAUAAGUGGCUUAAUUUGCAUCUUUACUAUUAGUUCAUUAAAUUGAAUAUCUUGGUGGCAACACAUUAUGCUGUGAUUCUUAAGAGAUCUGCACUUGAAAUCAGGCAGGAGCUUCCUUUUCCAAAAUACAGCAGAAGCCAAACAGAACUUUGAAAUGGCCCCAGGGUACCAGUGAACGGAGAGUGGAGGAGGAAAAACGUUUCAUGUGUCGUCUCUAGUAGUGGUCCCUGAGGAAACGGCUCCUUAAUUCUAUAGUGAAGGGAAACAGCCAUUAUCAACAGGACUGGAUGUUUGGAUAGGAAGACUUGAGGGAAAUCUGCAGGCUUUGAAUAGCCAUAAAGAAUUGCUGUUCUCGCUAGAAAUGGAUGUGGAAAUCCAGAAAUGAUUCAUUGCUACAUGAUGCCAGGACCAAGCAAGUAACCUUUGUCAGAGAAACUGUACUUUGGAAAAAAAGAUAUUUCUGCACAACAACAAGAAAGUAACUCAGUGAGGAAAUGUGAGCCAUUGUAGUAACAGUUAAAGCAACUGAAGCAAACCAAAGCAAUUGAGGUAAGCAA